AUGGCAUCUGGUCCAAUGGAGCACAGAGAGUUAACCCCAGUCAAAAGCGAGGCUGCCAAGCACGUAAACAAGGAGUGGAAAACUGGCGAUCCUUACCCCCCUCCCCAACUGAAAUCUCUGCCUCCCUCCUCACAAGCCAUUUCACUGAUUUGGCAUCAACUGUUUCCAAAGAAAUUACAGAUUUUAAAUUGUAAGGUGUUCUGGAUGCACAAGUGCAAUGAAAUUCCAGCCAUUUCGAUUCUACCCCCUCGUCACACCAGACGCAUCUUCCUUUAAAAAGAACAAAACCAAGAAGCUUUUACAAUCCUCUCCAGCCUAUUUCACUAAGACCGGUUGCGAACCCACAGCGCCGCGGAGGGAACGCCUGCGCCUCGGCCGGACACUAAGAGAGUUCGCUCGACCCCACUCCCAUUUUCUCUUCCUACGGAACAUCAAUGCGUGUAAACAUGACUUCAUAGCGGCUGCACUCUUCAUACGUCCUGUCCUUUUUCAGCCACAAGGCACAGCGCGAUAG
RNAcentral lists this long non-coding RNA (514 nucleotides) under Lynx canadensis (Canada lynx). Its description in RNAcentral is "lncRNA (ENSLCNG00005003354.1)". Lineage: Eukaryota; Metazoa; Chordata; Mammalia; Carnivora; Felidae. The record is from RNAcentral.